This 4933-nucleotide long non-coding RNA is filed under the name Androctonus crassicauda. Lineage: Eukaryota; Metazoa; Arthropoda; Arachnida; Scorpiones; Buthidae. The record is from RNAcentral.
CGAUUACAGUUAACGUCUACAUCAGUUGUUAUAGAUUGUAACCAAUAUUGUCGAUUUCACAAUAUGCUAUCUAUAACAGUUGAAAUUGAUCACUGUAAUCGAUUUUUUUAAUAUAGUUAAUACUAUUUUUAUAUUGUAAUCGAUUAAAAAAAAAAUCGAUAUUUAUAAAUCGAUCUUAACAACUGAAUGCGAAAUCUCAUUCGAUCUUUUAAGGUUAUUAUUAUUAUUUUUAAAUUAUCAGAGUUUUCAUUGGAGCGCAUUAUAAUGUUAUCUUUAACUUUUAAUACAGCGAGUAUCGAUCAUCGCUAAGCAUUGCAAAGUAUAAAAUACUCGUUGAUACUCUGCCAAUCUUUAUAAAUUGAUCUUUAUCUCAUCAUCUAAUUCCAGCUGCCACUGAUUGCACAAAGGCGUAUUAAGGAACGAAAAAAAUUAUCAGCUGUGUAUUAUUGAUGGUAGACUUAAUAGCGCAAAUUAAUUUUCUUUAAACUAAUUUUCGCUGCAUUCAUUAUUGUUAGCGUCGUCAAAAAUUAGAUUUCGGUGAUAAUCACGUAAGUAAGAUUAAAGAUUCAUCUUUGACGCUUUAAUCUAAAUUAGAGAACCAGUUGUUGCAGUAGUCUAUUGGGAGAUAAUUAAAAAUAAUCUUCUCAGGUAUUAUUUACAAUACACAACAACGCAUCUAUUCAUUUUGGUGUUUUAUUAUGUAUAAAGUCAUCUCCUGCAUUUUAUUAAAGCUUUAAUUUGGCUAAUGUUAACUGGGCGGAUAGAUCAAAUAUGAAAUUUACCCAACAGCCGAUUAAUUAGCAAUCCACUCAUUAACUGCAUGCUGUAAUUCUCAGAAACGUCAUCAGCACUUUUCAUUGUUAGCACAAUAAUUGGUUUAGCAUAAAACAGAACAAUUUCGGAUACAAACCAGAUACAAUCAGUAUAAACUCGGCUACAUUUAUUCAAUAAGAGAACUGCAUUAAGUAUAUAUAGUGGUAUUUACGAUAUUAUAUCCAAUACAACCGGAGGUGUAGUUACAGGGUAGACAGACAAGUGUAAUUACUAUCUCGAUCGAUACCAAUAAUAAGGAUAGCACUAGAUAAUAACAUUAAUUCGGUUCCUAACAGGUUGAAGUCAGCUAGACAACUCAAACUUCUCGGAAAAGUAUUGAAGCCAAGUAUAUGAAAGAGAACUAGCUGUUAUGACGAAAUAAGCUGUUACCUACUUCAAUAUGGUGUAUCUAUUGAAACGUGUAGCUAGAUAUUAAAUUCAUUGUUGGUGUAGUAAACCUCGAACUCCCUGGAGCAAAACGUAGCAAGGAGUUGGUCUUCCACACCGAUUUGUUUGGUUGUAUAAAAUACUGGAACUGAAUGGAUAUGGAAAGGAAACUGAAAUUCAUCUUAAGGGUACUAUCAUCGAUUAUUGGUCGAGAAGUGAAUUUCUCAGAUUAAAGGCGGUUGUUGCUGUCGUGUUUCUCGCUAAACUUACUAUUUUAAGCUCUUUUAUUUAUACUUUACAAACCAUUCUAAGUAUUUUUAAACCGUUCACCACCAUUUCCGAAUGUAGUUAUUAUACCGAAUCGAAAUCAUCGAUAUGCACUUUGUACGAAGCACCUUUAUAUGAGGUAUAAAUAUUCCCAUAGUAAUAAUCAAUAUAAUCGAUGUUGCACCUGCAACGCGCACAAAAGGUCACAAUCCAUAUUGUACAAGUACUGCACCUUUAGCGCACACAGACACACACAUAAAUACAGACGAAUCCAUAAAAUUCGCCAGAUAAUUAAUAUUUUAAUUCUCUUUUUUUAAAGAUAUUUUUGGAGAUUAGAUAUGUAAAUUUACUCUUCCUUUCUCAAGAUAAAAAGGACUCAAUAAAAUGAAUAUAUAUAUUUUAUGCUUAAUCCCAUUACCUGACAGUCAUAUAUCGGUAAAAAUAUACUUAGAAAUUUGUAUUUGGCCAAGUAGUUUUCCACCGCCAUACUAAAAGUAGAAAACGCUAUUAGUAUUAUUUAAAUACUCCCAAAGUGCUUUUAAAAACCCACUCUCGAAUAUUAAAGCUGUAGAAUUUAAAAAUAUGGCUUCUUAUAUUAACAACCGGUUGGAGCACUAUUCUGGAAUAAGUAAUACGUCGCUCUGCAGCUACUCUCGUUAGUUACAAACAAAAUUUUGUCUCUGGCAUGAUCUAAGUUAUGCAUUAAGUAGAUUUAAUUGAAAUCCUACACGAAUUACUAACUAUCAAAUUUUAGACAUCCAUAUUUAUGUCAUCUUCUCUCGAGUAAAGAUAGAACAGAGAGGAUAAAUCUUGGUGAUAAAUAUAUUCCUCAGUUAAUUACGCCACCGUUUGGAAUUUUAAAACGGAAUUAUAACAUAAUGUGACAUAUAUUUUAAGCGUUAUUGAUGAUGUCUUCGUAUUAAUAAGAUAAUUAUAUUGUAGAAUUUAAUCCAGUUUUGUAAUUUAUGAAACUAAUGUGUUGUAAAAUGGGAUUAUCGAAAAUCAAUUUUCGAAAAUCGUAAUUUAGUAUCCACCCACUCAUAAAAUUUGCAAAGAGCAAUUUAGAUAAUUAACAAGGAACAAAAGCGUGGUAGGUAUUUAAAAAGUUUUUCUUAAUUAAACUUAUUAAAGAUAAUGCAAAUUUUUAUAUAUUUUUACGAGUUUUUUCUUUUGUUACAUUACAUAGUGGGGUUGGGUGCAUGAUUAAUAAGAUGCUUCACUGUAUUGUCAGUAAACAGCAACAGAAGGCGCCUUUCUGUCGAAUUUUAAAUAUUUAUUAUUGCUUAAUAUGCGAAUAUCCAGAUAAUUUUCUAGCAGAAAAAACUCUUCAUUUUCGUGUAUACUUACUAAUGUCGAUUAUUUUUUUUUUACCUAAAGAUACAGUGGCAGUAAAAUUGCAAAUCUCUACGUGUAGAAAUAUAUUUAAUGUACUGUUUCGAGCAGAGAUAAGAACGGAGACAAACGAAUUUUAUUACAAACAGUUUUGAUAAAAGCAUCGCAUCGCAUUUAUAUGGUAGAGACAAAGAGAGAGAGAGACACUUCUUUAUGUGCGAUUUAAAUUUUUAUUUAUGCCCACGUUUUCUAUUAUCCCGACUAAACACGAAUGACUCUUCCGUUUGGUAGGAUAAUCAAUCAUAUUAUCUUCUUCAGUACUACUACAUACGGCAGUCAGGGAAAAAAAAGAUGCUGUAAGUCAACAGAGAGAUCUUCAUUUGUUAUCCACAUAUAAUUUCUCGCCAAAUUAAUGUUUCUAUUCUAUUUUGUGUAGAGAUAAAAACCUUUAGCGAAAAAGUGCUUACAAACGUAUUCAGUUUGGCGUGGUAAGCGGAAGAUGUAAUUCAUCUUUUAUAUCUAGACUAUCAACGAAGAAACAUGAGAAUUGGCUAUUGGAAAUUGUUGGCUGUCUCAUUGUUUCGAGCACGCUCCGAGUAAUUUGAUUCCAGAUGAAAGUAACAUUGAUUGAAGUGUGUUACGUUUCUCUGAUUGUUUCUUGGGAUGAAUAGUUCAGAGGACACGCUUUCUUCUCCGUAAGACUUUACUGAUUUGAAAAUUGUUCACAGACGAAGAUUUAAUUCGGUUUGUUCAAUGGAUUCCAUUCGUUUUAUCUAUCGAAUUAUCUUUAAAAGAGUAAAUAACUUUGUUUAUAAAAUAUUCUAUUAAGAGAAUCCAAUGAGAAAAGAAGCAAAAAUGAGCUCUACACCAAUGAAAGAAACCAGUGAAGCGAUGCUAUUGCAAUAAUCAUAAUUACUUUUCAUCAAAACGAGCAUCUUUAACUUGUUAAGGCAAACUAAGUUACUCCAGAAGAGAUACGUAUAUAUAAAUUUAAUGAAUAUUAAAAUAUCUGGCAAAAUUUUUUAUACGCUAUGAUUCUACGGCAGACCUUACAAAUAUAUUAAACAUUUGACAAAUUUUAAGCAGUGUAACCUCUCUUAGGCCGCUAAUAUUCAUCUGGCGAUUAAAUGUUAAAGGUUGGAGUCAUUUGUUGCCUCUUUAACUCAUUUUAUUAAUGGUUUGUGUCCAUUCUUGUUUUAAAUCCUAUUAUCUUUUAUUUGGUUAACGGAAUACAUUAAUGUUGAAAUUCAUUUUCGUGUAAUUGUUGUUCUUUCAUAUAAAAAUAAAUAACUCUUCUUAAUUAGAUGGAGUCGAAGAAGUUUUUCUUUUUCGAUCAAUUUAUUAAUGCAGAAAAUUUUUUUAUUUUUUUUAUUCUUCCGUUCUCGCAACUGUUUUAUGGGACGAUUCUUCCACUUUCGUAGAUUUUAUUAUUAUUUUUCUUAGUUUGGAAAACAUUUUUGGGUAAAUAAAUAAAUGUAAUUUGUAAGAGGCGUCGGACGAGAGACUGGUCAUAAUAAUGCCUGGCCUAAUUUUGCUUUGUAGAAGUGCAUUGACACGAAUGUUUCUCUCGUAAUAAAGCAGAAGAAUAAACGGUUUCCAUCUAAGUUAUUAAGUAUUGAGGAAGAAAUCGCAGAUACACACAAACAUAAUUGCAUUUGGCGUCAACUGUGUGACUAAAGUCUUCAAAGCCAAGACACUCGGCACCGUCUGCUCCACUUCUUCUAUUUAAAAUAAACAAAAACCCUUCUCCAUAAGAUUUUACAGCACUAACUAGUACUAUUAAUAUCCUGAUAUUCUGUUGCUUGUUCCUCAUAUUUUUUUUUUAUUAUUUUUACUCCCAGAGUUCUUACGAAUUUUCCCUUCUUAAAACAGAUUUCAGUAGGAUUCUCGAUGACUUUAAUUACGAUUAAUUUUUCGAAGCAAACGAAUCUAUUCAUGAAAUGCAGGAAAAUAAUCUUUCUGACAAAUGGCCUGACACGAAUUAAAUAUUCUAAUAAACUUUAUCAAUUAUUGUAAUUUAAAUUUUAACCAUUAAACUUUUAAUUCAAAUGAGUUACGGUUAAGAAUUGUUAAUUAUAGAAAAUAUAAAAUUCAAUUAAAGUUUAUGGCGAGUUCUCCGAAUGAAAUAUGUUUU